UACGUAGGGGGCAAGCGUUAUCCGGAAUUACUGGGUGUAAAGGGUGUGUAGGCGGUUAAGUAAGUCAUAUGUGAAAGUCCAUUGCUCAACAAUGGGUGUGCAUAAGAAACUAUUUGACUAGAGUGCAGGAGAGGUAAGCGGAAUUCCUAGUGUAGCGGUGAAAUGCGUAGAUAUUAGGAAGAACACCGGUGGCGAAGGCGGCUUACUGGACUGAAAACUGACGCUGAGGCACGAAAGCGUGGGGAGCGAACAGG
RNAcentral lists this ribosomal RNA (254 nucleotides) under uncultured bacterium. RNAcentral describes it as "partial 16S ribosomal RNA". It matches the Rfam family "Bacterial small subunit ribosomal RNA", at positions 524 to 776 of the family's 1533-position model. The record is from RNAcentral.